GGAACUGUGCCUGAAGCCAAAGGGCCACUUUGAUAGAGUGAAUAAUGGGGGUUAAAGUCCCCCCAGCUCCU
RNAcentral lists this transfer RNA (71 nucleotides) under Astrapogon alutus (bronze cardinalfish). RNAcentral describes it as "tRNA-Ile". It matches the Rfam family "tRNA". From Rfam's summary of the family: Transfer RNA (tRNA) molecules are approximately 80 nucleotides in length. The record is from RNAcentral. Lineage: Eukaryota; Metazoa; Chordata; Actinopteri; Kurtiformes; Apogonidae. RNAcentral also lists the same sequence under 1 other name.